This 253-nucleotide ribosomal RNA is filed under the name uncultured bacterium. RNAcentral describes it as "partial 16S ribosomal RNA". It matches the Rfam family "Bacterial small subunit ribosomal RNA", at positions 524 to 776 of the family's 1533-position model. The record is from RNAcentral.
UACAGAGGGUGCGAGCGUUAAUCGGAAUUACUGGGCGUAAAGCGCGCGUAGGCGGCUUUGCAAGUCGGGUGUGAAAUCCCCAGGCUUAACCUGGGAACUGCAUUCGAGACUGCAUUGCUAGAGUAUGGGAGAGGGAAGUGGAAUUUCCGGUGUAGCGGUGAAAUGCGUAGAUAUCUGGAGGAACACCGGUGGCGAAGGCGGCAUCCUGGACCGGCAUUGACGCUGAGGCGCGAAAGCUAGGGGAGCAAACGGG